GCAGGACGCACAGACAUGCUGACUCUCAUGGCCAUGCGAUGGAAUCAGCAAAAGUUCCGAAAUUUGGCAGUUUCACUGACUCGCCGAUAUCAGAAGACCAGAAAAGCUCUGCAAAGCCAGUUACAAAACCUAGAGUCCUUGAAAGCCCAAUUGGCAGUGACAGAGAGCUAACUGGAAGACUGGGUCAGUGAUGUAAAGGAGUGGGCAGGCGCAGCAAGAGUAACAACCACAAAU
This is a long non-coding RNA of Carassius gibelio (silver crucian carp), 234 nucleotides long. RefSeq lists it as uncharacterized. Lineage: Eukaryota; Metazoa; Chordata; Actinopteri; Cypriniformes; Cyprinidae. The record is from RefSeq and is a predicted model, not a curated record. The transcript is spliced from 3 exons.